CGACCAUUUUCAUUGAAAUGAAAGCCCAAUGGGCAAUGGGGUAGUAUAGAUGAUGGAUUUAGAAGUUCAAACCCUCCAACAUUUACAACUUCACUAAAAACUAAGCCCACUUGUCCUAUCCAUAGCUUCGGGACCUUGUCAAAGUUAAUUAACGAAAAUUUUACAUAUCGCACCUCCGACAAAAACAUACAGAUUAGAAGCCUAAUCUACCAAAACAUACAACAAUAACUAAAACUGAUUGGUGAGUCAAAUACCCGAACCAUCAAACGGAUCACAACACAUGAGCUGGUUCGUUCUUGACUCCGAAAAGCCCAUUAUAAAAAGUUUGAGGUUGAGCAAUU
This 341-nucleotide long non-coding RNA is filed under the name Capsella grandiflora. RNAcentral describes it as "long non-coding RNA (CGRA_LNC001329)". Lineage: Eukaryota; Viridiplantae; Streptophyta; Magnoliopsida; Brassicales; Brassicaceae. The record is from RNAcentral.